RNAcentral lists this small RNA (473 nucleotides) under Pongo abelii (Sumatran orangutan). Its description in RNAcentral is "processed transcript". Lineage: Eukaryota; Metazoa; Chordata; Mammalia; Primates; Hominidae. The record is from RNAcentral.
CAGACAGUUGGCUGCUGAGUGAACCCCCGUCCCUGAGCUAACCCACAUGCUAGCAGAGGAGGAAGUCAAGAGUCAGCCACUAACCAGAUGCAAAUCCCCACACUCUUCCCCUUAGCGCUUGACCGUGCCUCCCAGCUGCUAACUGGCCUCAAAUGAUGCAUGUGAGCCCAGCUCCAUGACCUUCUCCAGCUGAGGCAGGAGAAUGCCUACCUGGCCACCAUCACCAAGCAGAUCACGCCCUACGUCCGCUCCAUUGCCAAGGUGAAGGAGCGGCUGGAGCCCAGGUUUCAGGCACCCAUGGAUGAGCAGUCAGAGAGUCUACAAAACACGCACGACGACAGCAGGAACAGCACGGCCUCAACCAGGAAUAAUCCAGGAAGUGUCCCGGAAAAGAGAGAGAAGACAUCAGAGCCUAAAGGAAACAGCUGGGCUCCGAACGGCCUCUCGGAAGAGCCUCUACUGAAAAAUAUGGA